GAAGAAAGCAAAUAUUUUUGGGACUUGGUCUUGUUAUGGUGAUGGGUUUAGCUGUUUACUUAAGGCUUUGGACCAUUGACUACAAUUUCUCAUCUAAUGAAACUGAAUUACUCAGGAGACAGUUCGAUCUUGCCAGUAGAGAAGCAAUGGACGAAUCUGCAGUGUGGAGAAAAAGAUAUGAUGACGAGGAAAAGAUAUCUUCCGCCUGCCAAAAGGAACUGAUUAAGAUUAAGCAGUUGUUGAAGGAGGAUGGUGCUGCUGGCAUUAAGAAGAAAAUGGAC
This 281-nucleotide unclassified non-coding RNA is filed under the name Hevea brasiliensis (rubber tree). Lineage: Eukaryota; Viridiplantae; Streptophyta; Magnoliopsida; Malpighiales; Euphorbiaceae. The record is from RNAcentral.